RNAcentral lists this transfer RNA (87 nucleotides) under Mycoplasmatota bacterium. Its description in RNAcentral is "Tenericutes bacterium (anaerobic digester metagenome) tRNA-Leu". It matches the Rfam family "tRNA". Rfam says of the family: Transfer RNA (tRNA) molecules are approximately 80 nucleotides in length. Their secondary structure includes four short double-helical elements and three loops (D, anti-codon, and T loops). Further hydrogen bonds mediate the characteristic L-shaped molecular structure. tRNAs have two regions of fundamental functional importance: the anti-codon, which is responsible for specific mRNA codon recognition, and the 3' end, to which the tRNAs corresponding amino acid is attached (by aminoacyl-tRNA synthetases). tRNAs cope with the degeneracy of the genetic code in two manners: having more than one tRNA (with a specific anti-codon) for a particular amino acid; and 'wobble' base-pairing, i.e. permitting non-standard base-pairing at the 3rd anti-codon position. The record is from RNAcentral. Lineage: Bacteria; Bacillati; Mycoplasmatota.
GCAAGAGUGGCGGAACUGGUAGACGCAUCAGACUCAAAAUCUGACGAUAGUAAUAUCUUGUGGGUUCGAUUCCCAUCUCUUGCACCA